CCUAAAGCUUCUUUAGAAGCUACUGAUACAAUGAAUGAAUCUUUA
Non-coding RNA from Brassica oleracea var. oleracea, 45 nucleotides. The record is from Rfam. NCBI's taxonomy places the organism in Eukaryota, Viridiplantae, Streptophyta, Magnoliopsida, Brassicales, Brassicaceae.